Molecule: ribosomal RNA, 432 nt
Filed under: uncultured bacterium
Lineage: Bacteria
Description: partial 16S ribosomal RNA
Rfam family: Bacterial small subunit ribosomal RNA
Source: RNAcentral
AACGAACGCUGGCGGCAGGCUUAACACAUGCAAGUCGAACGCACCUUUCGGGGUGAGUGGCAGACGGGUGAGUAACGCGUGGGAAUCUACCCUUCUCUACGGGAUAGCUCCGGGAAACUGGAAUUAAUACCGUAUACGUCCUGAGGGAGAAAGAUUUAUCGGGGAAGGAUGAGCCCGCGUUGGAUUAGCUAGUUGGUGGGGUAAAGGCCUACCAAGCGACGAUCCAUAGCUGGUCUAAGAGGAUGAUCAGCCACAUUGGGACUGAGACACGGCCCAAACUCCUACGGGAGGCAGCAGUGGGGAAUAUUGGACAAUGGGCGCAAGCCUGAUCCAGCCAUGCCGCGUGAGUGAUGAAGGCCCUAGGGUUGUAAAGCUCUUUCAGUGGGGACGAUAAUGACGGUACCCACAGAAGAAGCCCCGGCUAACUUCGUG